RNAcentral lists this ribosomal RNA (497 nucleotides) under uncultured bacterium. Its description in RNAcentral is "partial 16S ribosomal RNA". It matches the Rfam family "Bacterial small subunit ribosomal RNA", at positions 28 to 507 of the family's 1533-position model. The record is from RNAcentral.
GAUGAACGCUGGCGUCGUGCCUAAUACAUGCAAGUCGAGCGAACAGACGAGGAGCUUGCUCCUCUGACGUUAGCGGCGGACGGGUGAGUAACACGUGGAUAACCUACCUAUAAGACUGGGAUAACUUCGGGAAACCGGAGCUAAUACCGGAUAAUAUAUUGAACCGCAUGGUUCAAUAGUGAAAGACGGUUUUGCUGUCACUUAUAGAUGGAUCCGCGCCGCAUUAGCUAGUUGGUAAGGUAACGGCUUACCAAGGCGACGAUGCGUAGCCGACCUGAGAGGGUGAUCGGCCACACUGGAACUGAGACACGGUCCAGACUCCUACGGGAGGCAGCAGUAGGGAAUCUUCCGCAAUGGGCGAAAGCCUGACGGAGCAACGCCGCGUGAGUGAUGAAGGUCUUCGGAUCGUAAAACUCUGUUAUUAGGGAAGAACAAAUGUGUAAGUAACUAUGCACGUCUUGACGGUACCUAAUCAGAAAGCCACGGCUAACUACGUG